Molecule: ribosomal RNA, 204 nt
Filed under: uncultured bacterium
Lineage: Bacteria
Description: partial 16S ribosomal RNA
Rfam family: Bacterial small subunit ribosomal RNA
Source: RNAcentral
UACAGAGGAGCCAAGCGUUGUCCGGAUUGACUGGGCGUAAAGCGCACGCAGGCGGAUGCGCGCGUGGGGUGUGAAAUCUGGCCGCUUAACGGCCAGGCGCCAUCCCAUACGGCGCGUCUGGAGUGAUGCAGAGGUCGGUGGAAUUGGCCGGUGUAGUGGUGAAAUGCGUAGAGAUCGGACAGGAACACCCAGGGGAAACCGAGC